This 59-nucleotide microRNA precursor is filed under the name Branchiostoma floridae (Florida lancelet). RNAcentral describes it as "Bfl-Mir-124_pre stem-loop". It matches the Rfam family "mir-124 microRNA precursor family", at positions 9 to 66 of the family's 72-position model. From Rfam's summary of the family: The mature ~21nt miRNAs are processed from hairpin precursor sequences represented here, in this case originating from the 3' arm. The record is from RNAcentral. RNAcentral also lists the same sequence under 1 other name. Lineage: Eukaryota; Metazoa; Chordata; Leptocardii; Amphioxiformes; Branchiostomatidae.
AGUGUUCACGGCGGUCCUUAAUUUAACAUUGUGCAAUUAAGGCACGCGGUGAAUGCCAA